Molecule: ribosomal RNA, 468 nt
Filed under: uncultured bacterium
Lineage: Bacteria
Description: partial 16S ribosomal RNA
Rfam family: Bacterial small subunit ribosomal RNA
Source: RNAcentral
GACGAACGCUGGCGGCGUGCUUAACACAUGCAAGUCGAACGGAAAGGCCCUGCUUUUGUGGGGUGCUCGAGUGGCGAACGGGUGAGUAACACGUGAGUAACCUGCCCUUGACUUUGGGAUAACUUCAGGAAACUGGGGCUAAUACCGGAUAGGAGCUCCUGCUGCAUGGUGGGGGUUGGAAAGUUUCGGCGGUUGGGGAUGGACUCGCGGCUUAUCAGCUUGUUGGUGGGGUAGUGGCUUACCAAGGCUUUGACGGGUAGCCGGCCUGAGAGGGUGACCGGCCACAUUGGGACUGAGAUACGGACCAGACUCCUACGGGAGGCAGCAGUGGGGAAUAUUGCACAAUGGGCGGAAGCCUGAUGCAGCAACGCCGCGUGCGGGAUGACGGCCUUCGGGUUGUAAACCGAUUUCGCCUGUGACGAAGCGUGAGUGACGGUAAUGGGUCAAGAAGCACCGGCUAACUACGUG